UACUGGUAGUAUUCACAUGGACAGCAGCAGCAUAAGAGGAGGGCAUUUGCAUUUUGCACCACAAGUUCUCAAAAAUCUAGAUGCGCAAGACCAUACAAGCAAUCAUGUCACUGACUUUAAUCUUGCACGCAGGACAUGCUUGGGGUAUAGCCAUGGUCCAUGUGCAAUGGAGAAAAGGACUGACCACUUGCCUCUGGUGCAGUAAGUAGAUGCUACUACUGAUCAAAGAUUUGUCUACUUGGGCAUAAAGUUUUGGUAUUUUGAAGACACGUUCUAUUCUGAGGUAGGUAGGUUGCUACCACCAUGGUUGUUCAAUGCAGAUCUCUCACAUGCUGCUUUAGGUGCGAUGUUUAUAUCAUCACAGGUCACCAUUAGGUUGUGUCCAAAGCAUGGAUGUGGAAAGACGUCCAUCAUUUUCAACCUCUGAUGAGCUAGAAGACUGAUAAUAAACACCUUUUUUCUUUCCCAUCUUCGAGACAUGCGAGAUUCCCGAUCCAUUUUUCCUAUUUAUACCUCCUGGAGGGAUGUAUUUGCUGGCCCUGGACUUGGUAUCCAUCUGGGAUAUUAUUUGCCUGGCCUAAAAGGAGUAGUUGAGCUGAAUUUAAACUUGGCCCAUCUGGGCUGUCAUUUCACUUCUUGUUUUAGCUAUAAAACACUUGUAUAUUCUUUGAAUUCAACUCUUGGAUUCCUUAUCUGCAACACUGCAUGGAGGAGUAAAAACCCGAUUCUCAUUAUAGCAUGAACCCCAUCUAUUCAAAGCAUGCAUGUAACUUUCUGUGGUUUAUAUCGAGGUGCGUCCACCCAUCUUGUAUUCCUCCAAGCCCAGUUCCUUUCACCUUCGACAAUGGUCCAGUUUGAACUUUGACGCAUCUUUAAGAACAACAGACUGGGCUGGAUAGUGGAUUCUUUAUCUCAUGCCAAGAAAUCUUGACUCCAUAUGCUGCAACAGAACAGAUUCUUUCGAGUGCAAUCCUCAUCUAAUCAAGAGAAUGGAAUAGAAACAUCUUAAGGGUCAGUACAGUGCCAGCAAAAACCAUGACUACGUAUUUUCAUAUGGCAUCUCUUAAAGUACACGGCCAUCUUACACCAACCCAACCCAAAACUUUUUACCCUUACAAUGGUCCAUCUUGAGGCCUCUAUUCAAAACCAGACUGGCUGCAUUUUCAUCCCUAGCAAACCGUUCUUAGUUCCCUUCCUUGAUUGAGGUAACACAGAAGGUUGUUUCGAAUGAAACCAUAUCAUGAGGGGGUAAGUGGCUAACUAUUAAGCAAGUGAUCAGGAAAGAGUUCAUUCUUCAUAUUGUCUUUUGCAUAUUUACAACUUGCAAGCAGAUAGUAUUUUUUGCAAAAGCAAAAAGUGUAGCCGAAUGUACCAGGUCUCUUCGGGGUCAAGGCCAUGUUCCUUUAGCCUAAGGAAAGUUGAAAGGAGACGAGGUAAAAGUAAAUGAAGUUGAAAUAAGAAACCAAGAACCCUAUAAUGCCAAAUUAACAAUCAGAAGUGCCAAGCUCUAAACUCAAGUGGAAAAAAUUCUUUCUGCACGAACUCAGAUGAAAAGCAGGGAGACAGCAGCCAUAAGCCAAAGGUUUCAAGAAUCUCUCAUUUUAUUGCCCUCCUAGAAUUUGCAUUAGCUAUGAGCCUAUAACUCAGUGUCGCAUAACCGGAUCAUCAAACUAGACACCAUUCUCCGAGCGAAAGGAAUAUAGCUCAGACCGUACCUGAAACAGCUUAAAGAAGACAUAUAAGUGGUGCGAACAAAGCAUUUAAAAUGCCCAAUUGAACUUCUUAUUGUUAAACUAAGAGAAGCUAUUGCAGAGAUGUUGCCUGAUAUAUAAGAUAAAUAGCUGGAAAUCAUGUACUGUAGUCUGAAAAUUCUGAGAAGCAACCAUGUACUGUCUAUGAAAAACAAAUAAGAGCGCUGUAUAAUUUCCAUUUCAAA
Molecule: long non-coding RNA, 1936 nt
Organism: Populus trichocarpa (black cottonwood)
Lineage: Eukaryota; Viridiplantae; Streptophyta; Magnoliopsida; Malpighiales; Salicaceae
Exons: 2
Source: RefSeq, a predicted model, not a curated record